CCCUCGUAAUAGGGCCCAUGCAGCAGGGGUGUCUUGCUGUCCUACUAAGAGUUAUGCUGCUUUCUUCGGGAGGCUCUGACUCUGGAGCCCUCUGCACAGGCUCUCUGGAGCGGGCCUGCACUGGCUGGCUCGCUGGGGUGGGGAGCCAUGCAGGGUUUACAGGCCCUGACCCAGGCUCUAAGGCUACCUUAGACACAUUGUGGCUACAGAUCCCAGGGAUUAGUAAGGCCAAAAGGGCCCUGGCAUUGAGUCAAGCAUCUGCCCUGGGCACGUGGACACACGGGGGCCUGGCUCCCAGGCUCCUGAGGGCUUGCACCUGGGAGCACUGCUCUCUGCUCCUGGGCCUUGGGGCUGUGCCAAACAGCCGAGUCCAGAACAAGAGGCCCUGUGGUGUGGAGCUGAAAAGGAUGACGUCACCCAGACUGAGGCCCUGGGCCGGGAUGGGCUCAUUAGCCGGGAAGCCGGCACCUGCAGGGCUCGAGGAUUUCCCGUGGUUGCCCCGUGAUGGAUCUUCGCUCGUCUCCUGAGGCCUGAAGUUACUCCGCUGGCGCUCCCCAGCACCUGAGGAACAGAGCUGGAGUCAGAUUCUCCGCUUUGGGAUUUGCAGCCCUUGCCUGUGGCAGGUGAAUGAACAGAAGGAACUGGAAAAUGGCAGUUACAGGACAAGGAGAUGCGAGAGCUUCCCGAGGAAGCGGAGAUGAGGGAGCAGCGUUUGGAGAGGGCACAGUCUGCAGCGGGCCAGCUCGAGGACUGAGGCCCUGUCUCUGAGCUUCCCUGAUGACCCCUCCUUUGCACUCAGUCUUGCUUGGCACACCCACCUCUCUUUGCGUUUGAAGCUUCUGAGAACAAAGAAGACCAGGCAAUCUCUUCAAGAUGCCCCCCUGACUGUUUUGGCAGUGGAGUGGCCAGUGAUUCCUGCUGGGGGUCCUCUUCCUAUGGGAGCUUCCUGGGAGUCACCACCGGAAAACUAGAGCCCUGGGUCACAGAUGAGAUCCCUCUGCUUUCACACACAUGUUUUAAAAACAACGAUGCAAAGUGAUCAUCACAAUAGAUCCUGGGGUUCAGAGGAAAUUGAACUGCUGCUCUAAAACCUCGUGCUACAGGAUGCCUGGUGGUGGGGAGCACUUUUGGCCAUAAGAACCCUUAAGCCGAAAGCCCCAGACUGAGGCACGUGUUGUUUUGAGAGGUGAACAGGUCACCCCUGCAUGGUCUUAGGUCCCUCUGCUACCUGCUGGCACAUCAAUCAGAGAUGAGAUUUGCAGGCAGAGAGGUGCAAGUUCAAGUUUCAGCUUCACUACUUGAUUUGGGCAAGUGGUUUGACCUCUCUAAGCCUCAAUUUCCUAAUCUGUAAAAAGAGGACAAUACUUCACUCAGAAGGCUGCUUCAAAGAUUCACUUGAGAUAGGCACACCAUUUAAUCACCACCCAAUAAAUGGUAACAAGGAUGGUGCCUUUAGAUGAUGAUAAUGUUAAAUAGUACCUACAACUACACCAGUGAAUUGGUGGUCUUGACACUGUGGCAAGACUUUAACCAGCUUCAUUAACCUCUGACCUCAUCUGUCCCUUAGCCUCAUUUAAAUUAGACCCAGUGACCAGCAAUUCUCAAUCUCCAUCUCCAUCAGUCUCCAUCAGCCUGAGCUUCCACAGUCACAGCAUCUUCUGAAUGGUUCUACUGGAAGUGACCAGAUCCCACCUGGCUGCUGGCUCAUCUGAAACACAGCCAGUAGGUCUCCUUCCUAGGAUGAUUUCUUGGGCAAGGAGUUGAGAGCAGGAGGAGGGGCUGAGGUCCCUGGAAGAAGGAUGGGCCACUCUGUUUUGGGGCUGCUUCCUGAGAAGUUGGGCCCUCUGCUUGGGAGUUGGCUCAGACCUACGCCUGGCCUCUCAGCCUCCCAGGGAGCCUGCUCCAUGCAGGACAUGUGACCAGCCCUUUGCACUUUGUGCCCCUUGCCCACUCACAGCCAACCCUUUCACACCUCAAUUAGCCACUUAGGGAAAAGAAAGAGCGAGAGCAAGCUGGGGAAAUCUGUCCAGACCAUGAUGAAUACUUUCCCAAGCCUGCUGUUGCCAUGGCAGCCAGCUGGGAACACCGUUUCUAGGGCCUGAGGCGCUCAGACAUGCAUGGGGGGGCUGCCCUGCUGGGCUGCUGCCCACUUGCCUUCCCCCACCCUGGCCUCCUGGCUCCCUUAGCAACAGCCAUCACUAUUGCCAUCGCAACCACCACUGCAGCUCUGCACUGGCCGUGAGCAGUGUCCACGGAGCUCCAGGGGGAAGGUCUGCCUGAUCCUAAAGCUCAUGUUCCACACGGAGGAGGUUUUCAAAGGUGUUUCCCAAUCCCAAUGCUGGGGCUGGAUGUGGUGGAGCAGAAGCAGACGAGCCCUGAACUUGGUGCUGCCCCUCACCGAGUGUGGAGAAAUAAGAAAACCUGACAGGCGGAACCAGGCUUUGAUCAUGCAUUGUUGUCACAACGGAAUGGAUGCGUGACACGAAGAUGCCAAAAAAAUAAAGCAGUGAUUUCCCGACAGUUCCGUGAACUCUGUUAUGGAUCAGGAGACUGAGGCUACAGAGGAGAAGGGAACUGCUCACAGUGACCCCGCUGCUUACAGGAAACCACAAAGACAGGAAGAUGGCUCGAGACAUAUGGUGGAAACCAAUUAAAACCAGUUGAAGGCAACAUGGCAGUCUGAGUUGACCUGACAUAGACCCCGCAGCUCAUUAUACACUCACUGUGAUAUAUUACCAUGCUCCGUAACACACCCACCAAUGCCAUGACAGUUUGUAACCAAAUAAGGAAAGAAAAGAGGUGGCAUCCUUGUUCCCCUGAAAAGCCUGCCCAUUUCCCCAAAUAACUAUGAAUAUUCCUCCUCUUCAUUACCUUGACCCCUGAUAACAACUGCUUAAUGGCCCCAAGAGCUGAGAAGUUGGUUUGUUAACUUAAGUUCCCACUUCUCCAUUCAUGGCCAUUGAAUAAAGCUUGUUCUGUUGAAUGCUCAGCUUUGGUUUCGCUUCAAAUCCACGACACUGAACAGGAAAGACCCUUCUGAGGAAGGGAAGGAUUGUGGGUACAAGGCCCACCCAUGGGCCUCUGCUCAGAGCUCCUCUGAAUGUGGGUUGGAGUCCCACCGGAGUGAGGUGAAAUUGCUAACACUUUCCUCUUGCCAAAGAGAACUCCCUGCAAAGCAAUAAAAUGGCAGUGAGCUUUGAAGAGGGCUUUCUAACCACCAAGAAGCCAGUCCUGGAUUUUGAUGCUGUGUCAUUUAGCACAGUUCCUUUCCCACCAACUGUCUGCUAUGACACCAUGGAGCUAAGUAGCAGAGCUGCUGAAAUAACAGUCACGGGAGAGGGAAAUUAAGACACAUCAGCAAGGGAAAAAGAUUCUUUUAAGCAAGGAGGGGAAUAGGACAGCAACCGAUGAAACAGAAGCAAGAUGUCUGUUCCAGGUGGAGAGAGGCAGAGAAGUCUUUUGUGUGGCAGCUGAGUCAGAGAUGCAACAGAGAGUGCAACAGCCUGCAUUAACGUGGAGCUUAUCAUAAACAUUCACUUAUUGAUCACAUUGCCACCCUAUGCGAAGAGGCUCAUAGGAACCUUUAUUUGACUCUAGGGGGCUAAGCACAUGGCUUACGAGCUUGGAAGUUCUGACUCUUUAAUUUCAACAAGAGAAGGCUGGAGUGGAGGAGAAGAGAAAAGGCCACAGGGAGGGUUAAUUUGCCUGCUUGACGCCUGUCAUUUCACAUGUGAGAAAGAGUGGUGAGUUCUCAUAAGGAAGGGCAGACACGCAUCUAUUACUCCAUUACAAUGCUUUUUGACAAGGCUGUGCAUCUCAAGCCAAUGUAUUUGGUCCAAAGACACAGCAAUGGGUUUUCCAGGUGGAGGAGGGCAAUGUCGAGCAGGUACUUGGCACGAAUGUUUAAGUAGGGAACGGUUGUAAUAAGACCCCGCCGUGCUUUCAGCCCGAGUGACUGCUGCUCUGCAGCAGGAACAUCUAUCACUGGCAGGGAGCAGCGUGUCUACCUCCCUGUCACCUGCCUCAUGUCUAAAAGAGACACUAAAGAUCUGGCCACGGUGGGGUCCAUGUCUCCUGGCUCAUGUUGCGAUUUGUCUAGGAGCAUGAUGAAUAUGCACGUUUCCUCUGACAUAAUCUUUUCUCCUCCUUGGACAGGCAUCUACACAUGUCCCCUUGUCUCUCCCCAAGUCUCCAAAUGGAGGAAUGUUCUCAAAAGAAGGUCUUGAUUCUCGCUGUACUUUCUUCUCUCUGUCCUCCUCCUUUCUUCCCCAACCCUCACCCUUUCCAGUAACCCCCACGGAGUGAAAGUCUCCCUGUCAGUCUGAUAGCCACUGUUAACAAGGGUGUUCUGUGAGCCUGCAUGCUGCCUGGCCAUGAUCUAUUCUUCUUUGUGCAUCAGAGGGGUCCAAGACUCCCCCACAGGUAAUUGAGAAAAUUGACGUGCCCGUUACUAGUGAUGUGAACUUACAAACCCUGGGACUCACUGAUUAGAAUCAAAUUCUUCUCAAGCUGGAUGACCUUCAGAAUUACACAAUGUUAGAGCUUGAAAGGGUCUUAAAGAUUUUCACCUAAACUCCUUCUUUAAUAGAAGAGGAACCUGAAGUGCAGAGACGUGACAGGAAUUGUCACUUAAAGUUACUCCUUCCUCAACGUUCUUCCCACUACUCCAACUCAUCUUUACCUCACUCUACCCUCACUCGUAGGUAGAACUGCUUUUAAGCCAUCUCUCCUCUUUCUAAACCUCUUAUAAGGGAAAGUGGUUUUAAGCUUGGUAUGUAGAAGAUGAUCAAAGCAUCACUUAAUCUCUUAAGACAGGACAUGCUAUCCUAACAUCAGGAAAGUCUUUCCAUCUAACUUUUAUUUGUUUUGCUGCCAUGUUUCCUAAACUUUUUCAGUAAAUAGAGAGGAGAGGAGUCCCACCCUUAUGUAUUUUCCCAUAGGUGUCAAAUAGGCAAAUUUAUCCUCCCUGUGGUCUUGUCUCUUCUCCUCUGGUCUUGCCUUUUCUUGUUGAAGUUAACAAAUCAUAACUUCCACAUGCAUAGGCCGUAUUCUUAGCCUCCUAAAGUCAAAUAAAGGUUAGUCCAUUGGAGAACUGACUCUUUGCCUAAUGACAAAAAAGUAAUAUCGAUAAAAGCUUUCUCUUUUAUUUCAUGCCAAAGUUCAGGUUGAUUUAUAGGCUAGAUCCAGCCUGGCUUCUGGCACUCAAGCAUGUCAGAGAGGAAAACUGGGACAGAGAGCAAAAUAGAGAGCCUCAUAAGUGGGGGCUGUAGAAUAAACAUGUAGUAGGCAAGUUUCGGGAGAGCUCCCCAAUUUUGUACUCUGUAGUUCUUGAUAUGUGCCCAUAAGCAUCUUAAAAAGCAUUUGAGAAACUGCCAAAAAGCCAAGCUAAAAAUACCCUUGGAACAGCGUAAUCAAGAAGAAGUACAGAGAUGGGUGUGAGCUCUCCAUGGAAGGUGUGAGACUCAGAGCAUGGGAGCCAGACUGCAGUGCACAUCUCAGGCUCUUGUCUAGGGGACUGAACCAUGAGGCAGUCUGAUGUGCUUGGGGAGGAAUGGAUGCAUCUGCUUUCAGACUCUGUUUUCUUUUUGAAUCAGUCCAGCCCAAUAGUGUAGCAAGCGUGUCUAAUGAGCACCUAUUAUGUGCCUUAGGAUUAAAAGUGUGAAAACACACCCACUCCUCAGGAGAGUUUGAAACCUUCUGAUGACUCCCCAUUGCCCUUUGUAACACUUAUAAUUUGGCUUGAAUGGCUUCUGGGUUCUCUGUCUAACUCAGUUUCAGGAUCCUACUUCUUCUAACACUUAAUCAUGUGUCUCUGACAAAUAUUUUCUCUAAUCUUCUUUUUCCAGUUAUGAACCUUCUGUUCCCAAUUAUUGGGAACAUUUUACCGUCAGCACAUUCCCUCCCUCUCUCCUGGGGCUUCCACCAGUAGUUUAAAAAUACUCAGACUCUUGCUUUCUGGGAAUAGGAUCCCACUUCUUUAACCUUUCUACCCAAGAUAUUUCCAAACUUCAUAAGCCUUCCCUCAAGCUUCUCUUAACUUGGGGAGCAAAGAAUUGGCCAGAAGAGUGAUGGUGAGUGUGGG
Molecule: long non-coding RNA, 6082 nt
Organism: Equus caballus (horse)
Lineage: Eukaryota; Metazoa; Chordata; Mammalia; Perissodactyla; Equidae
Source: Ensembl